Long non-coding RNA from Alosa alosa (allis shad), 312 nucleotides. RefSeq lists it as uncharacterized. The record is from RefSeq and is a predicted model, not a curated record. The transcript has 3 exons. Lineage: Eukaryota; Metazoa; Chordata; Actinopteri; Clupeiformes; Clupeidae.
GUUUCAGAGAAGGCUGGUAGAGCUCUCUAUGAGUGUGAGCUGUGGGAGAUAACCAAGAACUGACAACCACCUACAGAAGAGGUGGCGAUAAUGGCUCUCCAAGAGGAGGUUGUGAGUCUGAAGGCUUUUAUUCAACAAGGAGGCACUUAGAGGGAAUGCCUUGACCCUGAGAAGACUAAGACGAUAAUUGAGGCCACCCUGAAGCAGUUCCCAGGCCAGACACUCACUCCAGAUUGCUGGGCCAGGCAAUAAAUGCCAAAGUGACAGAACUGAGGUUCCAUAACAAAAACAAAGAUUUUCAAUAAAAUAGAA